UACGUAGGGGGCAAGCGUUGUCCGGAAUCAUUGGGCGUAAAGCGCACGUAGGCGGCUUUGUAAGUUAGAGGUGAAAGCCUGGAGCUCAACUCCAGAAUUGCCUUUAAGACUGCAUCGCUCGAAUCCAGGAGAGGUGAGUGGAAUUCCGAGUGUAGAGGUGAAAUUCGUAGAUAUUAGGAAGAACACCAGUGGCGAAGGCGGCUCACUGGACUGGUAUUGACGCUGAGGUGCGAAAGCGUGGGGAGCAAACAGG
RNAcentral lists this ribosomal RNA (253 nucleotides) under uncultured bacterium. RNAcentral describes it as "partial 16S ribosomal RNA". It matches the Rfam family "Bacterial small subunit ribosomal RNA", at positions 524 to 776 of the family's 1533-position model. The record is from RNAcentral.